ACGAGCCGUAUGAAUCGAGAGGCUCACGUACGGAAUCUGUGAGAGGCUCGGGGUGAAAUUCCUUGGGCCUACUCGGC
This 77-nucleotide unclassified non-coding RNA is filed under the name Bradyrhizobium erythrophlei. The record is from RNAcentral. Lineage: Bacteria; Pseudomonadati; Pseudomonadota; Alphaproteobacteria; Hyphomicrobiales; Nitrobacteraceae.